Molecule: ribosomal RNA, 475 nt
Filed under: uncultured bacterium
Lineage: Bacteria
Description: bacterial SSU rRNA
Rfam family: Bacterial small subunit ribosomal RNA
Source: RNAcentral
UCAUGGCUCAGGAUGAACGCUGGCGGCGUGCCUAACACAUGCAAGUCGAGCGAUUUACUUCGGUAAAGAGCGGCGGACGGGUGAGUAACGCGUGGGUAACCUGCCUCAUACACAUGGAUAACAUACCGAAAGGUAUGCUAAUACAGGAUAAUAUAAGAGAUUCACAUGGAUUUCUUAUCAAAGCUCCGGCGGUAUGAGAUGGACCCGCGUCUGAUUAGCUAGUUGGUAAGGUAAUGGCUUACCAAGGCGACGAUCAGUAGCCGACCUGAGAGGGUGAUCGGCCACAUUGGAACUGAGACACGGUCCAAACUCCUACGGGAGGCAGCAGUGGGGAAUAUUGCACAAUGGGCGAAAGCCUGAUGCCAGCAACGCCGCGUGAGUGAUGAAGGCCUUCGGGUCGUAAAACUCUGUCCUCAAGGAAGAUAAUGGCGGUACUUGAGGAGGAAGCCCCGGCUAACUACGUGCCAGCAGCCGC